UCUGGUAAUGAUGGCAGAGAGGUCACACCCGUUCCCAUACCGAACACGGAAGUUAAGCUCUCUAGCGCCGAUGGUAGUUGGGACCUUGUCCCUGUGAGAGUAGGAGGUUGCCAGGC
RNAcentral lists this ribosomal RNA (116 nucleotides) under Bacillus sp. OR-18. Lineage: Bacteria; Bacillati; Bacillota; Bacilli; Caryophanales; Bacillaceae. The record is from RNAcentral.